AACGAACGCUGGCGGCAGGCUUAACACAUGCAAGUCGAGCGCUCUCUUCGGAGGGAGCGGCAGACGGGUGAGUAACGCGUGGGAACCUACCCUGGGGUACGGAAUAACUCAUGGAAACGUGAGCUAAUACCGUAUACGUCCCCCUUUAGAGAUAUUGGGGGAGAAAGAUUUAUCGCCCUUGGAUGGGCCCGCGUUGGAUUAGCUUGUUGGUGAGGUAAUGGCUCACCAAGGCUACGAUCCAUAGCUGUUCUGAGAGGAAGAUCAGCCACACUGGGACUGAGACACGGCCCAGACUCCUACGGGAGGCAGCAGUGGGGAAUCUUGGACAAUGGGCGCAAGCCUGAUCCAGCCAUGCCGCGUGAGUGAUGAAGGCCUUAGGGUUGUAAAGCUCUUUCACCGGUGACGAUAAUGACGGUAGCCGGAGAAGAAGCCCCGGCUA
RNAcentral lists this ribosomal RNA (439 nucleotides) under uncultured bacterium. Its description in RNAcentral is "bacterial SSU rRNA". It matches the Rfam family "Bacterial small subunit ribosomal RNA", at positions 29 to 499 of the family's 1533-position model. The record is from RNAcentral.